This is a long non-coding RNA of Ipomoea nil (Japanese morning glory), 727 nucleotides long. RefSeq lists it as uncharacterized. Lineage: Eukaryota; Viridiplantae; Streptophyta; Magnoliopsida; Solanales; Convolvulaceae. The transcript is spliced from 4 exons. The record is from RefSeq and is a predicted model, not a curated record.
AACCCUAUGUCCCUAACCCCAAAAUUCCUUAAUUUCCUAUUCUAUUUCACUUCCAGUCUUCCACCCUCCACAGUUCCACGCACGUUGCAGCCCUCUGGGUGAUCUGUGCAGUGACGCGACAAUCUCCGGCGACGGCGACGGCGACGGCGACAACAGCAACAGUAUCUCACUCCGGCCGACGCAAACGGGGGAGCAGAGAAGAAAGGAGAUUGAAAACAACGCAUCAGAGAAAGACAGCGAGAAAUGAGAUCGCCAAGGUGGGGGUAUUUUCGAAUAAUCACAGGGACUAUUGCCGGAGGCAUUCUUGGCUUCUAUGCAAUGCAUCGUGCUGAACUCAAGUACAAGGAGAUUUGGAAUGAAAGAUUGAAGAAGUAUGAAGAAGAGAUGAAGAUGAAGCAAAGCAAAGAAGAAACCUCUGAGUUUCAGGAGACCUUUAGCACCCGGGGAUAAACUCCUGAAACGAGAAAAGGACAGUAUCUAGUGGCUUUUGACAUUCAAAUAUGAAGUGGUACAUUGAACUAUGUUGAUGAGAAAAAAGAUUACCCCCUUUCAGAUAUUGAUAACAAGGGAUGAUUAUUAACACUUCCCCGAGUUCAAAAGCUUUGGCUAGUGAAUUGAAUAUGGGUUUCGCAUGUGAAUUGAAGAGAAUGUUCUUGAAUAUUAUGCAAUGCAUUCUGUGAAAUGGCAUUUAUUUUGAGUUAAUAAUAUUCAUUUCAACUUGAUUGCA